AGAGCGAACGCUGGCGGCAGGCCUAACACAUGCAAGUCGAGCGCCCGUAGCAAUACGGGAGCGGCAGACGGGAUAGUAACACGUGGGAACGUGCCCUUCGGUUCGGAAUAACUCAGGGAAACUUGAGCUAAUACCGGAUACGCCCUUACGGGGAAAGAUUUAUUGCCGAAGGAACGGCCCGCGUCCGAUUAGCUAGUUGGUGAGGUAAUGGCUCACCAAGGCGACGAUCGGUAGCUGGUCUGAGAGGAUGACCAGCAUCACUGGGACUGAGACACGGCCCAGACUCCUACGGGAGGCAGCAGUGGGGAAUAUUGGACAAUGGGCGCAAGCCUGAUCCAGCCAUGCCGCGUGGAUGAUGAAGGCCUUAGGGUUGUAAAGUCCUUUAACGGGGAAGAUAAUGACGGUACCCGUAGAAUAAGCCCGGCUAACUUCGUGCCAGCAGCCGC
This 446-nucleotide ribosomal RNA is filed under the name uncultured bacterium. RNAcentral describes it as "SSU rRNA". It matches the Rfam family "Bacterial small subunit ribosomal RNA", at positions 26 to 518 of the family's 1533-position model. The record is from RNAcentral.